This 276-nucleotide long non-coding RNA is filed under the name Musa acuminata (dwarf banana). Its description in RNAcentral is "long non-coding RNA (MACU_LNC010119)". The record is from RNAcentral. Lineage: Eukaryota; Viridiplantae; Streptophyta; Magnoliopsida; Zingiberales; Musaceae.
AGAAAAGUGGUAGUCCCAAACUAACUAAAGCAUUAAAGCGGCUAACUACUACUAGCUCCACUAACUAAAGUAGAAAAGCGGGCCCAAACAUCAGCAUCUUUCCCGUAGUGUGCCCGCAGCAAAGCAGUAGUGCUAACAACUACUAUAAUUCAGGUUCGUUUUUCAGCUCGUCUUGACCAUGGCAUCUUUUUUUGUUAGCAAGCUUCUCGCUCUUAUAAGAUCAUACGGAUUUCUCAUUCAGGGAAAGAAUAAGUAAUACUAAAUAGCUAUGUUGAC